Molecule: long non-coding RNA, 227 nt
Organism: Pseudophryne corroboree (corroboree frog)
Lineage: Eukaryota; Metazoa; Chordata; Amphibia; Anura; Myobatrachidae
Exons: 3
Source: RefSeq, a predicted model, not a curated record
UGAUGCUGCUGUCCUGUCUCAUACUGCUCCAGAGCCUUGAAAAACAGUUGUCAGGCCGCAUAGCGGCUGGAUGGACUGACCUGCCUGAAGGGAACAGAGUCUGAAACACAGCUGUUUGAGCAUGUGUCAUUUGGAGAGCAUGAAGAUGGAUAUCUGCAGCACAGACCCUGAGUAGGCAUGAUGGUGUCAUAACUGGAAAAGACACGUUGGAUGGAGCAAGGUAUGAC